UACGAAGGUGGCAAGCGUUGUUCGGAUUUACUGGGCGUACAGGGAGCGUAGGCGGUUGGGUAAGCCCUCCGUGAAAUCUCCGGGCCUAACCCGGAAAGUGCGGAGGGGACUGCUCGGCUAGAGGAUGGGAGAGGAGCGCGGAAUUCCCGGUGUAGCGGUGAAAUGCGUAGAGAUCGGGAGGAAGGCCGGUGGCGAAGGCGGCGCUCUGGAACAUAUCUGACGCUGAGGCUCGAAAGCGUGGGGAGAAAACAGG
This 253-nucleotide ribosomal RNA is filed under the name uncultured bacterium. RNAcentral's name for it is "partial 16S ribosomal RNA". It matches the Rfam family "Bacterial small subunit ribosomal RNA", at positions 524 to 776 of the family's 1533-position model. The record is from RNAcentral.